UUGACUUGGGACUUCCCAGUUUCCAAAACUGUGAGAAAUAAAUUUUUUAUGAUUUACCCAGUCUAAGAUAUUUUGUGACAGCAGCAGGAAUGGACUAACAUACUGGGUCUAGCAAAGAGUUCUCAAGUGCACUGUUUCUCUCCCACCACUGCCUGUUCUCACUUUCUUUCGAAGAUGUGAUUAACAGUUUCCACAUCUGUUUGGUCCCUCAAAAGGCAAAGGUGAAGUGUACCGGAGAAAUAUAUGGAUCACAGGCAAGAUCCAAAGCUGGCUGCAGUCUCUGAGGCCUGAGCCCUUCCAUGAAGGCUCUUGCCCCUCCUUGUUCCAUACAUCUUUCUUCUUCAUAGCAAGACAUUUCCAUUAAGCCCAAAAGCCCAGAAUGCAACUCAGAUAUACAAUAUAUUACCUGUUGCAUCACUUUCUUUGAUAUGGUUUGACUCUGUGUCCC
RNAcentral lists this long non-coding RNA (448 nucleotides) under Pongo abelii (Sumatran orangutan). Its description in RNAcentral is "lincRNA". Lineage: Eukaryota; Metazoa; Chordata; Mammalia; Primates; Hominidae. The record is from RNAcentral.